AGUGAACGCUGGCGGCAGGCCUAACACAUGCAAGUCGAGCGGAAGAACGGGAGUGCUUGCUCUCUGUGGCGGGAGAGGCGGACGGGUGAGGUAGACAUCUGAAUCGUACCGGUGGAGGAGGUCAACGUACGGGAACUAAUACCGAAUACGCCUUGAGCGUUAGGGUGGCAGAGGGGGAUAGCUAAAGCUAUCGCGUGUGGCUGAGCCGAAGUCGGAUUAGCUAGUUGGAGGGGUAAUGGCAGACCAAGGCGACGAUCCGUAGCUGGUCUGAGAGGAUGAUCAGCCACACUGGAACUGAGACACGGUCCAGACUCCUACGGGAGGCAGCAGUGGGGAAUAUUGGACAAUGGGCGAAAGCCUGAUCCAGCCAUGCCGCGUGUGUGAAGAAGGUCUUCGGAUUGUAAAGCCCUUUUGUUGGGGAAGAAAUCCUGCAAGCUAAUACCCUGGUAUUUUGACGGUACCCAAAGAAUAAGCACCGGCUAACUUCGUG
Molecule: ribosomal RNA, 490 nt
Filed under: uncultured bacterium
Lineage: Bacteria
Description: partial 16S ribosomal RNA
Rfam family: Bacterial small subunit ribosomal RNA
Source: RNAcentral